CAGCGCAGGCGCGACGGCAGCCCCGCCAAACACCGGCUCUUAUUUUCGGGCGGAGGAGACUCCGCCGUCCAUGCUCUGGCUGUGCCGUUGGGCUGUCGGAGCCGGGGUGGGCGCCGAGGCGGCGGCGGCGGCCAGACUCAUUUCUGGCGCGGGGAUGCCCAAGAAGGGAAAAGGCCAGAAUAAGGAGCCAGUGAAACCACUUCCUUCCACUGGACCUGUGGCAGUUGAUCAAAAUGGUUCCAUCACAAUAGCCAUUCAUGCCAAACCUGGCUCCAAACAAAAUGCCAUAACAGAUGUGACAACAGAAAAUGUAAGUGUAGCUAUUGCUGCACCUCCAUCAGAAGGAGAAGCUAAUGCAGAACUAUGUCGGUAUCUUUCCAAGGUCCUGGAACUUAGGAAGAGUGAUGUUAUCUUAGAUAAGGGUGGUAAAUCUCGUGAAAAAGUGGUAAAGAUUUUGGCAUCCAUAACUCCAGAAGAGAUUUUGGAAAAAUUGAAAAGGCAAGCAAAAGUCCCCUGAAACAAAGAAGCAAAACCCAGAAAUGAACUUUAUAUUUAGUUGAGCUUUCUUUUAAAUCUUAAAAAUUUGUAAGGAGAAGAAUCUAGAUAAUGCUUGGAUUACAGUGCUUUGAAGAAAAACAGUCUGUGAAAAUAUUCUUCAUGGAAUGUUGAAAAAGUCAAAAUAUCACACAAAUGGUUAAGAACAAAUCAAACCUGCAGUUCCUUUGGGGCUUUUUGGAACCAACAGCUUCCUGCUCUAUAAAAAUUGGUGAUCUCUCCAGGGUCCCACUUAGCUCUGAUAUUCCAUGAGACUAUGAACCUCUUCUCAGUUUAAAAGUAUUUGAUUAAUAAUAUCUUAGAUUUCGCAGUAUAUAGUAUUUCACAGUUUUCAAAUACAAAUUUCAAAUGACAUAUGUAGUCAUAUGUAACAUGAUUGAUACAGAUUUUUUACAAUAACCCCUCAAGACAGGAACCAUUACCAUUUUAUUUAAUUUAAAUUGACUUUUUAAACUUUUUUUUUUUUAAUUUUGAUUUCCAAAUUCUCUUACCAUUCUCCCACCAUUGAGAAAGCAAGCAAUAUAUCUGUUAUAAGUCAAAUCAUGCAAAACAUUUCUGUAUUAGCCAUAUUGCAAAAAAGAAAAAGCAAAUAAGAAAAGUAUGCUUUAAAUCUGCACUUGGAGUUUAUUCACUUUUCAUCAUGAGUUCUUUGAAAUCAUCAUGGAUCAUUGAUCAGAGUAGCUAAGUCUUUUGCAGUUGAUUAUCAUUAAAAUAUUGCUGUUAACUGUG
Antechinus flavipes (yellow-footed antechinus) is the source of this 1284-nucleotide RNA transcript. It is a transcript of the gene named chromosome 2 C15orf40 homolog, with no coding region annotated. NCBI's taxonomy places the organism in Eukaryota, Metazoa, Chordata, Mammalia, Dasyuromorphia, Dasyuridae. The record is from RefSeq and is a predicted model, not a curated record. The transcript has 5 exons.